RNAcentral lists this ribosomal RNA (503 nucleotides) under uncultured bacterium. RNAcentral's name for it is "partial 16S ribosomal RNA". It matches the Rfam family "Bacterial small subunit ribosomal RNA", at positions 28 to 523 of the family's 1533-position model. The record is from RNAcentral.
GAUAAACGCUAGCGGCAGGCUUAACACAUGCAAGUCGAGGGGCAGCAUAGAUUGUAGCAAUACAAUUGGUGGCGACCGGCGCACGGGUGCGUAACGCGUAUGCAACCUACCCGUCACAGGGGGAUAAUCCGGAGAAAUCUGGUCUAAUACACCAUAACAUAUGGAUCGGCAUCGGUUCAUGUUGAAAUUUUCGGAGGUGACGGAUGGGCAUGCGUAGCAUUAGCUUGUUGGUGAGGUAACGGCUCACCAAGGCGACGAUGCUUAGGGGGACUGAGAGGUUUCCCCCCACACUGGUACUGAGACACGGACCAGACUCCUACGGGAGGCAGCAGUGAGGAAUAUUGGUCAAUGGGCGCAAGCCUGAACCAGCCAUGCCGCGUGCAGGAUGACGGCUCUAUGAGUUGUAAACUGCUUUUGUACGAGGGUAAAGUGGGUUACGUGUAACCUUUUGAAAGUAUCGUACGAAUAAGGGUCGGCUAACACCGUGCCAGCCGCCGCCGUAA